This 460-nucleotide ribosomal RNA is filed under the name uncultured bacterium. Its description in RNAcentral is "partial 16S ribosomal RNA". It matches the Rfam family "Bacterial small subunit ribosomal RNA", at positions 338 to 795 of the family's 1533-position model. The record is from RNAcentral.
CCUACGGGUGGCAGCAGUGAGGAAUAUUGGUCAAUGGGCGUAAGCCUGAACCAGCCAAGUCGCGUGAGGGAUGAAGGUUCUAUGGAUCGUAAACCUCUUUUAUAAGGGAAUAAAGUGUGGGACGUGUCCUGUUUUGUAUGUACCUUAUGAAUAAGGAUCGGCUAACUCCGUGCCAGCAGCCGCGGUAAUACGGAGGAUCCGAGCGUUAUCCGGAUUUAUUGGGUUUAAAGGGUGCGUAGGCGGCCUUUUAAGUCAGCGGUGAAAGUCUGUGGCUCAACCAUAGAAUUGCCGUUGAAACUGGGAGGCUUGAGUAUGGUUGAGGCAGGCGGAAUGUGAGGUGUAGCGGUGAAAUGCGUAGAUAUGACGCAGAACCCCGAUUGCGAAGGCAGCCUGCCAAGCCAUGACUGACGCUGAUGCACGAAAGCGUGGGGAUCAAACAGGAUUAGAUACCCCUGUAGUC